RNAcentral lists this ribosomal RNA (429 nucleotides) under Pseudomonadota bacterium. Its description in RNAcentral is "Proteobacteria bacterium partial 16S ribosomal RNA". It matches the Rfam family "Bacterial small subunit ribosomal RNA", at positions 355 to 776 of the family's 1533-position model. Lineage: Bacteria; Pseudomonadati; Pseudomonadota. The record is from RNAcentral.
UGGGGAAUAUUGGACAAUGGGCGAAAGCCUGAUCCAGCCAUGCCGCGUGUGUGAAGAAGGUCUUCGGAUUGUAAAGCACUUUAAGUUGGGAGGAAGGGCAGUAAGCGAAUACCUUGCUGUUUUGACGUUACCGACAGAAUAAGCACCGGCUAACUCUGUGCCAGCAGCCGCGGUAAUACAGAGGGUGCAAGCGUUAAUCGGAAUUACUGGGCGUAAAGCGCGCGUAGGUGGUUCGUUAAGUUGAAUGUGAAAGCCCCGGGCUCAACCUGGGAACUGCAUCCAAGACUGGCGAGCUAGAGUAGGGCGGAGGGUGGUGGAAUUUCCUGUGUAGCGGUGAGAUGCGUAGAUAUAGGAAGGAACACCAGUGGCGAAGGCGACCACCUGGGCUCAUACUGACACUGAGGUGCGAAAGCGUGGGGAGCAAACAGG